GAUGAACGCUGGCGGCGUGCCUAAUACAUGCAAGUCGAGCGAACAGAUGAGGAGCUUGCUCCUCUGACGUUAGCGGCGGACGGGUGAGUAACACGUGGAUAACCUACCUAUAAGACUGGGAUAACUUCGGGAAACCGGAGCUAAUACCGGAUAAUAUAUUGAACCGCAUGGUUCAAUAGUGAAAGACGGUUUUGCUGUCACUUAUAGAUGGAUCCGCGCCGCAUUAGCUAGUUGGUAAGGUAACGGCUUACCAAGGCAACGAUGCGUAACCGACCUGAGAGGGUGAUCGGCCACACUGGAACUGAGACACGGUCCAGACUCCUACGGGAGGCAGCAGUAGGGAAUCGUCCGCAAUGGGCGAAAGCCUGACGGAGCAACGCCGCGUGAGUGAUGAAGGUCUUCGGAUCGUAAAACUCUGUUAUUAGGGAAGAACAAAUGUGUAAGUAACUAUGCACGUCUUGACGGUACCUAAUCAGAAAGCCACGGCUAACUACGUG
This 497-nucleotide ribosomal RNA is filed under the name uncultured bacterium. RNAcentral's name for it is "partial 16S ribosomal RNA". It matches the Rfam family "Bacterial small subunit ribosomal RNA", at positions 28 to 507 of the family's 1533-position model. The record is from RNAcentral.